AUCUUUUAUACAAUGAGGUAAACUAUUAAAUGUUUUAAUUGCAUCUGUAAUUGGAUUUCUUAAACCUAUGUUAGUUCUUGUAGAAACUUGAUAAACAUUAUUUAGUGAUCUUGUUUGAUGAUUAUGUACAUUAUGGUAAAACAUAAUAUUUAUGUUACUUUUUUGUCUGUUGUUUAUAAUUUUAUAUACAAGUUUACAUUGUUCUAUCUCCAAUAUCACUUUUAAUUUGUUUAAACUUAAAUUUGAAUAAAUUGUAUUAGAACUUGUAAGCCAAUCAAAAUUAAACAAAAUUUUCAAAAUUUUAUUUUGCAAAAUUUGAGCCUUAUUAAAAUUAACUUCACCGCACAUACCCCAUACUGGCAAGAGGUACCUAAAAUGUGUGAGAAAGAAGGCAUUAUAAAUUUGAAAUUUACUUUUUUCAGACAAAUAAUCUCUACUCCUAUAUAAGGCAGAUAGCAUUGGAACUGUUUUAUCAAAAAUUUUGUUUAAGUGUAGUGACCAAUUUAAAUUUUCAUCUAUUUGCAAACCUAAAUAUUUAAUAUUCGACACUUUUUCUAAUAUUACAGUAUUAAUAUUAAUAUUUAGAUUAUUGCUGACUGACUUAUUUUUUUGUUUGAUAUCAUGUAUUUGGUUUUCUCAAUGUUAAUUUUUAAUUUAUUUGAAAACAGCCAUUUAAGAUAACAUUUUAGGUCAUUAUUAAUAAGUUGUGUUAAAGAAGUUUCAUCUGUUCCAGCAUAUACCAGUACAGUGUCAUCUGCAAAGGUCUAUGAAGACAGCUAUAACUAUUUGUUGUUUAUCUAAUGCCAUUGAAAUACAGUCUACAAAAUCCACAACCGCACCAAGUGUACUACUGUUCUUUAUAAAGCCAUAUUGAUAUUUAUCAUUCAAUAGAUUGCAAGAGUUAAUGAAAGAUAA
Molecule: long non-coding RNA, 915 nt
Filed under: Anthonomus grandis grandis
Lineage: Eukaryota; Metazoa; Arthropoda; Insecta; Coleoptera; Curculionidae
Description: uncharacterized LOC126737608
Source: RNAcentral